UGCGGGAACAGGGCUAGAGUCUCAAGCCUUCCAAGCUGGCCAUGCCGGUUCGAUCCCGGUCACCCGCUCCA
This 71-nucleotide transfer RNA is filed under the name Klenkia terrae. RNAcentral's name for it is "partial tRNA-Glycine (TCC)". Lineage: Bacteria; Bacillati; Actinomycetota; Actinomycetes; Geodermatophilales; Geodermatophilaceae. The record is from RNAcentral.